CGAUGAAGCUUUUAUGAAUUCUUCGGAAUGAUUAAAAGUGGAUUAGUGGCGGACGGGUGAGUAACGCGUGAGUAACCUGCCUUACACAAGGGGAUAGCCGUUGGAAACGACGAAUAAUACCCUAUAACAUCAAAUAAUCGCAUGAUAAUUUGAUCAAAGAUUCAUCGGUGUAAGAUGGACUCGCGUCUGAUUAGCUAGUUGGUAGGAUAAAAGCCUACCAAGGCAACGAUCAGUAGCCGGCUUGAGAGAGUGUACGGCCACAUUGGGACUGAGACACGGCCCAGACUCCUACGGGAGGCAGCAGUGGGGAAUUUUGCACAAUGGGGGCAACCCUGAUGCAGCGACGCCGCGUGAUUUAGAAGGCCUUCGGGUCGUAAAAAUCUUUUGUAUGGGAAGAAAAUGACAGUACCAUACGAAUAAGGACCGGCUAAUUACGUGCCAGCAGCCGCGGUAAUACGUAAGGUCCGAGCGUUGUCCGGAAUCAUUGGGCGUAAAGGGUACGUAGGCGGAUAAGCAAGUUAGAAGUGAAAUCCUAUAGCUCAACUAUAGUAAGCUUUUAAAACUGUUCAUCUUGAGGUAUGGAAGGGAAAGUGGAAUUCCUAGUGUAGCGGUGAAAUGCGCAGAUAUUAGGAGGAAUACCGGUGGCGAAGGCGACUUUCUGGCCAUAUACUGACGCUGAGGUACGAAAGCGUGGGUAGCAAACAGGAUUAGAUACCCUGGUAGUCCACGCCGUAAACGAUGAGUGUUAGGUGUCUGGAAUAAUCUGGGUGCCGCAGCUAACGCAUUAAACACUCCGCCUGGGGAGUACGCACGCAAGUGUGAAACUCAAAGGAAUUGACGGGGA
Molecule: ribosomal RNA, 844 nt
Filed under: uncultured bacterium
Lineage: Bacteria
Description: bacterial SSU rRNA
Rfam family: Bacterial small subunit ribosomal RNA
Source: RNAcentral